This 117-nucleotide ribosomal RNA is filed under the name Leptolyngbya sp. NK1-12. Lineage: Bacteria; Bacillati; Cyanobacteriota; Cyanophyceae; Leptolyngbyales; Leptolyngbyaceae. RNAcentral also lists the same sequence under 1 other name. The record is from RNAcentral.
CCUGGUGCCUAUGGCGGUGUGGACCCACGCUCAUCCAUCCCGAACUGAGUGGUGAAACGCACCCGCGGCGAAGAUAGUUGGAGGGCUGCCUCCCGCAAAAAUAGCUCGGUGCCAGGU